UUUAUAAAUUACCCAGUCUCAGGUAGUAUCUUUAUAGCAGUGUGAGAAUGGACUAAUACAGCUGCUGUUGUUGUUGGUAUCAAAGCUAUUGAAUCUAAAGUCAGCCCUUUUCAUUGUUACUUGAUCUUUUAUUGAAGCUAUCAGCUUCUCCCUCAAUCACACCUCUGCUCUGGGGUUUAAGUAUUAUGAGUUCAUGAAGACGGGGCUAUAAAUCAACCCAAGUAAUAGAUGUUUCCCCUAUUGUAAAGCACUCUUACCUAACCAAAAUUAGCUCACUGUCUUUGAACUUCUAUUGAGCCCCAUGUCUCACCCAUUGGAUACUUGUUUUUCCAGUAGUUUUCUAAGUUAUGUGAGGCUCCCUACACAUAUCCAGACCCAUUUAAUUACUAUAGUGGAAAAGGUUUAGGCUGCUUAAACUAGGACCUCCUGUAAAUUAUAAAGAAUAUUUUAUGGUAAUGAAUUUGACCUUUUAAGCUGCAUUUAUCAUGAUAAGGGAAUGCCAUAUUUGUACUUUCUGCUUACUGUCUUUACUAAUCAAAUAACAGUAUAAUAAUUACUGCUAUUUAACAAAUAGAUAUUUGGGACCUACUGUGUACGUAUCUUUUACUCAACUCUGGAGCUAAUAAAAUGAUCAGUAAGAAGUUAUUUAUUCUUUCUAAAUAAGUAUCCAGUCUACUAAAGACACACAUAUCCAUUAAAAAUACACAGGAAUGAUAGGAGGAUGUCAUGACACAGUCAGUAAUGAGGUCACUAUUCUCAAAAUUCCAAAUUAUGACAUAGGCAUGAUAGCAUAUGCUGAUUUCAAAUUAUGUUCUCAUAUGUGGUGGUGUUUUGAGCCUUCUCCAUAUGUGUGUGGAGGCAGACAAUACAUGUGGAAAGAGACAUCAGCUAUUUCUGUAUCUUCCAAGCCUCUUAGUCCUAGAUGAAUUUAUGUAAAACGUUUGAUCCAAUAUGUGUCUUUCAGAUUGGAAUUUUAUUUAUUGAUCAAUCAAUAAAUCCCAACAUGUAUACUAAGAAUCAGCUGGUGGGUCUUCCACAGUGCUGGAUAUUAUGGGAAUGGAAGGGGAGACGAGAGGAAGGAAGACUAGAAUGUAUACAAUGUGAUCUGUACUCAGAGUUUGUAAUCUGAUUGGCACAUGUCUCAGACAUACGUUGCUUUCUUUCCGAGUGCUUAUUUCUCCUUCUUCCAGCACCCUGACAUUCCUUUGAAGGAUUCAUCCUGCCCCCAUUCUAAGCUAUGUGUAGUGGGAAGAUUCGAGGAUGCCACUGACUCACUAGAACCAUCUCUGGUCUCAGUGAUUGACUUAAUGAUGGAUGUAUGACCUAAAUCAGGACAAGAAACCAUCUCUGGUCUCAGUGAUUGACUUAAUGAUGGAUAUAUGACCUAAAUCAGGACAAGAAAUAAAUAAUCCCGGGACUAAGUGGAAGCUGUCAGAAAAGAUGCUGACUUCAAUGCAGGUGUCAUAUGGCAAUUGGAGAACCAGGGCUGAUGCAGCCAUGUUGCUACCAUGAGGGAAGGCAUGAUAUUUUGGAGGCCAUAGUAUGGAGCCUAAGAUGUAGCCUAUUCCAAGGAAGGAAGAACAGGAAAGCAUAGCAAAAUCAGAUCACUGAUAACAUUGUUUGAGGCACUAGAUAAAGCCUCGAAUUGAACCUAGUCAAUACUACAUCUGGAUUUUAAUUUGCUUGAGCUAAUUAUUCCCUUAAAAAUGAUUUUGAAUUGGUUCUACUGUUACUGACCACAAAAGAAGUUUUAACUGAUAAAAAGAAAAAAAAAUAUUCAGUGGUGUGACUUGUGGAAAAGAGCUCAGUAGCAAGAAAAUAGAAGGAAGUAGUAUCACUGAAAAUCACAGAUUAAUUUUAAUACGAUAGUGCAAGGAGGUGAAUAUAAUGUAGUGGAAAUACACUAAAGUAGAUUUGCUCUAUCGGUCCCUGGAAUUAUUGGACUGGAAUAGAAGUAAGGGCAGGGCUAGAGGUAUGGACCUAUGGGUAACUAUUAAGAUAACAGUUAAAUUCAUUAGAAAUGAACUCAUGAAUAAUAAACAGUAAACUGCAGUGGACUUAGAGGGGAAACUUUAUUGUUAGGGCAAAAUUGGUGGGUGAAACGAUAAGGAAGGCAAUAAUAAAGAAGGAAAGACCAAGUAAGGAACUGUCAAGGUUAUAAAAACCAAAGACAGAGAAACAUUUAUAAUGCCAAUUAAAAUUGAUAGAUCUAAUGCAUUUCUUUAAUGCUAAUGACUGUAAUCGUAAUUGACUUGGAAGAUGAAAACUGGAAAUUUUUCUCUGCCUUUAAAGGGCUUGGUAAUUAAUCAUAAAUAUGUAGAGACGAAGACUGCUGUUUGAUGCAUUUAUAAGAGUCUGUAGCUCAUCUCCCCUCACUUUGCACUGUUAACCUCAAAUUAUAUGAAAGGCUUAGCACCCUUGUAAGGAGCUCCUCAGGUGGACUAGAGACUCCGGAUGUGGUGGUUUCUGUCGAAUAAUCCUUAUGGUGGUCUAUUUUCUACAACAUUUGCUUUGAUCAUACUAAUAUGUUUGUUGGUCUUUUCCUCAUUAAAUUAUUUUCAGAAUCUUUUUCCCUUGAUGUUACAGACUUCUAAAUAUAAAUGCACACAAUUCCCUGAACCAAAUAGAAUGUUUUCAAAUUUAUAUGAUUUUUACUUAUAUAGAAAUAAGUGCUACAAAUAAGAAACCAUUAUUUCCUUAAUUUCAAAGGGCAAAUGCAUUCAGUGUUGCAGUCAACAUUUGACAAGUCUUUACCAACAUGUCUUAAGUUUAAGGAAGAGUCUCCCCGACUAAGAUGAAAGAAUACUGCUUAGCUUAAUGCUGUAGAAUGACAACAGUGAACAUGCCAUGCUCCUAGAGAUUAAUUAUUUAAUUCUCAUAACAAUUCUAUGUGCUGAUUUAUUAUUAUCUACAUUUUACAAGCAAGGGGUUGAAGUUCAGAUACGUUAAGUCACACAUAUAAUAAUAUUACAUUUUCUAAUGGCUGCCUAAAAUAGGUCAAAUACUUCCUUUCUGUUUUAAUAUGAGUCAUUGCUAGUAUUGUCUUUUGAAGGACCAUAAAACACAUACAAAUUUUAUGUUAUUAUACAUCUUAUAUACUCAUUUUGAGAGUGAUUAUAUUUGAAGUCUUUCUAAAAGAGAGAUCCAAAAUAUUGUAUCCUCUACCAGAAUGUAAUGUUAAUUUCCGAGGUGUUUUUAAAUCUUAUAUGGAAAAUUAACUUUAGUUUAAAAACUUAAAGGUAUGCAGAUUACAUGAACUUAAUUUACUUAUAAUUUAGGUAAGGUGAACACUAGAAAAAAUAUUUGUUUUAUUUUACCUAUCAGUUUGAUGUUGCUCAUUCACGUUUCUAAGUAGCAAAAAAUUCAAGUGAAAAUGAGAUUCGUCUAAUGACUAUGGCAAACAGGAAUGGUGAAAAAUGCUUGGAAUUGUAUACAUGUCAUACUCAUACAUAUCCUGCAACUUCUAAAGAGUUUUCAGGAAAGUUUCUGACUGUGACAUGCAUAACAGCAUUUAGUUAAACAUGUAACUUACCCCUACCCAUCAAAACAACUGUUUCUCCAGGUGUAGUUCUAGCUGACCAUUCUCAGUAUCUUUCAUGAAAUAAAAUAAUUUAGCAAUUUAAAUCAAGGGUUCAGAAUGCUGGAGAAGAGUUAUUUGUUAAUGGUCACUAAGAAUAUUUUUAAAAAUUUAAAAGGCAGAUUUUUAUCUUUCAUUAUCUUUACAAAGAAUACAUGUUUUUUCUUUAUUAAUAUUUAAUUAAAUAUCUUAGAAUAAAAUAACUAAAAGUGUAUAAUUGGACUGUUUGUAACACAAAGAUAAAUACCUAAGAGCAUGGAUACUUCAUUACUCUGAUGCGAUUAUUAUGCAUUGCAUUACUAUAUCAAAGUAUCUCAUGUACCCCCAGGUAAAUAUAUAUACCUGUUAUGUACUCAUAAAAUUAAAAACAAAUUUAAAAAGUGAUCAUUGCUCAUGAUAGAAUUUCUAAGAAAGGAUGGAGUUGGUAUCUGUCUGUGAUUUAUAGAAGUUUUUCUGGGAUGGUUAUCCGAAAAUAAACUCACUAAAGUUAUGCAGCAAUGAGCUUUACUGUAGAUGUAGUUUAUAAAAAAGUUUGUAAAAUCUCCCUUGACACUAUAGGAGGUAAUGAUAUAUGGCUCUUUCCUAGAGAGUUUUCUGAAAUUAUUUUUUGGAAUACAUAUAGUUUGUACUUGAGAGUAGAUGUUUAGAUUAUUUUCUUGGUGUAGUAGAUAGAUUGUUUUACAAGGUAAAAUAUAUUGAUGAUCUUAUUCAUGAUUUUCACAACCAGAUGCAAAAAGAGAAUUCACUUAAGGAUAUGUAAAGUUAGAAGAGGAUUAUUUGAUUUGAUCAAUUUGGUCUUAAAAAACUAAUGCACUCCAAAGCAAGUAAAUAUUAAUCUAAUCAACACUUUCUGUUGUAUAGAUCAUUUAAAAAUCUGGUUAAAUGUAACUUUAAAAACAUUUGUUUUACUUAAUUUUGUUUCCAUAAUAUGUCUAUACUUUUUGUGGAUGAUUGUUUUCUAGUCUGCAAUUCUAUUUGCAAAUCUGCUGAAAAUCUAUUCUCAGGCAAUGACAGAAGAGACUAUGAUCUUCUUUUAUUCGAAGGUGGAAAGUUGCCAUAAGUUUCCACAGCCACUGACCAAAGAACUUCCAUAUUUUGGAUUCUUAUCAAUAUGUAUGAUGACUGUUUGAUGGGAGAAUAUAUCAUGCUGUAAACACCUGGAAGAUAAGCUCUCAGAGGGCAGGAACAGCGUUUGUUUCAUACUGCUUUAUUCUGCAUGCUAACAUCAUGCUCUGCCUAUGACAAGUACUGAUUAAAUAUUGAUUGAAUGAGAGCAUGGUGGGUCAGAGGUGUGACUGUGUUAGCAGUGCUGUGUUUAGGUACAGGAGAAAAGCUUCUAGUGGACUUAGGCACUGAGAAGAACAGUCCUGACCUGGCCGCAGUUGUUGUGCAAAGGAUGUGGUGGCUUUAUUUGGCCUAAAGUUUUAUGUGUGCUUGCUCUGAAAUGUGGAUACGAAAAAGGUCCAGGGUGAUAGUAUUCUGUAUUAUAACAUCUAAGAAAGGAAUCUUACUUUGUUAGCUUCGUGCUCUUGCCAGCAUUUUCUGUUUCUGCCUUCUGUUUACUCCUUGCCCUUACUGUGUAAACAUGUUCAAGUUUCUCCAGCAUUAAAACUAAGUAACUUAUUUGACUUUUACCCACUACUUUUCUCUCUUUCCUCUCUCUCAUGUCCACAUUAUUAAGGAGGAUAAUUGGUAGUGGAUGUCUUCAAUUUCUCCUUUCUCAUUUCCGCUUAACCUCUUUGCAGUCUGGCAUUGCCACCACUGCUGCACUCAAAAUAGUUCCAUUGAAGCCUCUAAGGCUGAUAUUAUGAGGGUCAAAUGCAGAAGGUAUUUCUAAGAAAUUCUUGCUGCAUUUGAGGCUUCUCCUCACAUCCACUUCUCGAAACUCUAUUCUCUUGCUCCAGAGACUCCAGAGUUUCCUCUUUUCUAACUACCCAACCUCAUACACAUCACUCCUACUUUAUACUUUAGCUCUCCCCAAGGUUCUGCCCUCAGUUUUGAGCUCACUUCUGUUUUCGUGCACACAUGCCUCACAGAUAAUCCUUUCCACGGCAAGCAUUUUUAACACAACCUCUAUAAUAACUGUCUUUUCCUUUCUUUCCUACCUCCUACCCUUCCUUUUUCUAUUCCUUCCAUCCUCCUUUCUUUUGUUCCUUCCAAGAAUCCAUCUAUAAAAUUCUUGACAGAUACACAACAAAACAAUGGCUGUUUCCUAGUGGGAACCAAGAGAUUGUGUCUAGUUUCUUUUUAUAGUUUUAUUUAUUUUCUGAUUUAUUUUACAAUGAAUGUGAAUUAGCUUUAAAUUCAGAAGUAAAAAGCAAAGUUAUUUCCAACUAGGAACAACCAGAAAUAGUGAUUAUUCUCAAGAAUAAAUACCCUCUUGUAUAAAUAAAUAAAUACACUCUCCUGUAACCAUCUCACACACUUGACCUUACCCUCUGUGUUAAGUGAAGUGAAGGGCAGGAACCAUGUCUUAAUCACCUUUGUAGGUUGUUCAGUAUGGUGCUUGGGACUUAGUAAAUAUUCAUUAAGCAUACUGAUACCGUGAUAAGCUCACUACACUCUACAAUUAAAAUGACAUUCUAAAAUCUUGGGAGACGUGGGUGAAAACUCAAAGCAGAUGGGGCUUGGGCCAACAUUCUGGAGAGGAGAGUGCACCAUGGUGAUCUCAACAAUUGUUCUACUUUUUUCUCACAAAAAUCUGUCUAUUUUCAGCAAAGAGAAGAGAGCCUGAGGAGGAAGUAUAAAGUCAGACGCUUACAACAGACUUGCUGGAUUGGAGAGAGAGAGACUUUUACAGCCAGAGCUGCCAAGUAGAUCAGGACUUGGGGGUUUUGCUAUCCUUGAAUUUAAAUCAAUGACAAAAUAUCAAUGUCUUCAAUAAGCAUUAGAAAAGAAAUAAAAUUCUCAGGUAAGUUGAAAUUCAUCCUGUACUGAUAUUGUUUGACAAGUUAUUGUUCCUUAAUUCUGAAUGACACCAUUCCUAUACUUUGAGGAAGGUCAAUAUUAGUUUAAAUCUGAAUUUAUCUUUAGCUCAAGGGAAAUUUAUUUAAGCUUUUCAUGUAAUGAAUCUAAUAGAUUGGAAUCAUAUUUCAAGGAAUGGUCACUGGUUCCUUCAGUGUUCUAAAGUGUACAUUCAUUUCCACCAUGUCAAGUGCUUAAUUUAAAACACUUAUUGAUUCUUGAUUUUUGCUUGGAUGUGAGCUCAUUUAUUUUAAUGGAAUUGUUAAUAAAAUGUCAACUUUC
Molecule: non-coding RNA, 6823 nt
Organism: Macaca mulatta (Rhesus monkey)
Lineage: Eukaryota; Metazoa; Chordata; Mammalia; Primates; Cercopithecidae
Source: RefSeq, a predicted model, not a curated record